Molecule: long non-coding RNA, 142 nt
Filed under: Sphenodon punctatus (tuatara)
Lineage: Eukaryota; Metazoa; Chordata; Lepidosauria; Sphenodontia; Sphenodontidae
Description: Embryonic ventral forebrain-2 long ncRNA (ENSSPUG00000012340.1)
Rfam family: Embryonic ventral forebrain-2 long ncRNA
Source: RNAcentral
AAUUUCACACCUGGAUAUGCUCACUCAACCAAGAAUAUAGAGAAAGCGCUUCUGCCCCGAGACUCAGAAAAAUACUCUGCACCGCUCCUGUGCAGUGUCUAGAUUCCUAGACCCAGCUUUGCUUAACAGAGUUGCACUGGGG